GUCUACAGCCAUACCACCCUGAACGUGCUCAAUCUCGUCUGAUCUCGGAAGCUAAGCAGGGUCAGGCCUGGUUAGUACUUGGAAAGGAGACCACCUAGGAACACCAGGGGCUAUAGGCG
RNAcentral lists this ribosomal RNA (119 nucleotides) under Pteropus alecto (black flying fox). The record is from RNAcentral. Lineage: Eukaryota; Metazoa; Chordata; Mammalia; Chiroptera; Pteropodidae.